Molecule: ribosomal RNA, 322 nt
Filed under: uncultured Sandona
Lineage: Eukaryota; Cercozoa; Glissomonadida
Description: SSU rRNA
Rfam family: Eukaryotic small subunit ribosomal RNA (bases 112-322)
Source: RNAcentral
GAUUUCUGGGCUCAAGAAUUUGGCCGGCCACGGUUUCGUGUGUUAGUGCUUGAUGUUCUGGCCAUCCUUCCAAUCGCUAUUGGCUAUUCUUCAUUGAAUGGUCAGUAGUAUUGGAUCUUUUACUUUGAAAAAAUUAGAGUGUUUCAAGCAGGCUUUAUGCUAUGAAUACAUUAGCAUGGAAUAAUAAUUUAGGACUUCGGUUCUAUUUUGUUGGUUUCUAGGACUGAAGUAAUGAUUGAUAGGGAUAGUUGGGGGUGCUAGUAUUCAGCGGCCAGAGGUGAAAUUCUCGGAUUCGCUGAAGACUAACUUAUGCGAAAGCAUU